UUCCAUGUUCUAUUUAACGAAAUGUCAAUAUAAAUUUAUCCAAUAGCAAAAUCUUGUUAACAGAUUAUUAGUAAUAUAAAGUGGAAUAUUUCAAUAUUGAAAUUAAUUUUUAUAUUGUGUUGUAGAUAUGUAACUAAAUUUCAUAAAAGUAUGCAUCCUUUCCGUUGAAGAUUUUGCUAUAAAUGUUUAACAUAAGUUUAGAAUGAAUAAAACUGUUUUUAUACAAAAUUGUGUAUUAUAGUAUAAAGAAAUAAGCUCACCUGGCGCAAAUCAUCAUUCAUAGAAACAAUAUUUCUUGCAACGUUCAUUAUUUAUCCGCUGAUAUGUAUAAAUUAAAUUUUUGAACGAGUUGCUAUAAUUACGUAUUUAUCGAAAUUUUUUGUUUUUCCCGCUCAAUAUCAUUCGAAAGGUAUAUGCACAAAAUGGCUAAUUGAUAUAUUCACAAAUUAACAAUGAUUUUGUUAAAAAUAAUAGUAACAUACUAUUACUUUAAUUGGUAAAUAUAUUAAAAUAAUAAAAAAUGUAUCAGAUAUAUAAAGCUAAAAAGAAUAUUGUCACUAUUAAUUUGAAUUAAAAAUAUAUUUUCAUUGUUUUUCUUCGCAUCACGUUGCAAUUAUCUUUGGCCAAUCAGAAGACGUAGAUCUUCGUCACAUGACAAUGUAGCUAUUUUGUAAACGCUUCUCAUUGGUCUAAAUAUUUUUGAUCAUAUGCCACGAGUUUAUUCGCUAUCGGUCGUAAAUGCAAUGUUAACGCCUCUCAACCAAUUACAUAUCUUAUACACAUUGUUACUGUAAAUAUAAUUGGUGUAUCCUAUCCAGUAAAAUUUGAUAAAAAUCCGACAAGAAAUGUAGCAUGGAAGCAUGCAUAGACCAUAGUCGUCAAACGGUAACGAGUAGUACUGUGUAUCCAUACAUUGAUAUAAGUUAAAAUUAAAUUUUUAACAGAACCUUAAAUAACGUUGUUAAAGACAGUUUGUCAUUGGAACGACGCUUUUAGAUAAUUUUAUUAUACAACUUAUGAUAUUUUGGGAUAAGUAAAAUGGGAUCUUAAAAUAAUGUAACGUGACUGAUAAAUUGUUCAUAUUGGGAGUAAAUGUGCAUUUCACAAAGGAUGAUUUUAAAUAAUUCCAUGUUAUGUUGAGUUUUCAUUAACCUUCAACAAAUAUUAGUGGCAGUACACUGAGGUUCAAAGGCAAAAAUUGGCAAUGCAAAGGGUAUUUCCAAAAAGGAGCUCUAAUUUUGAACGUAUACAUUUGUGCAACAAGAUUAAGGUGACGUUAGACGAAAAGAGAAUUGUUUUUAAAUCAUCGUCCAGUCUCAAUACGACAGUCAAACAGAAACGACGAUUUAUUAUGUAAUAGAAUGAACGAUUCUAUUUCUUCUUUCUUAUUUUCUUUUUGACAUCUUCCUUUAUGCUGGAUAUAAAAGUUUGAAAGGCCCUUUAAAUAAAAUCGAAGUAUAUUCCCUUUUGCGACAUAUUCAACUAGAAAAGAUGGUUGAAAGUACGACAGCUGUUCAACGUGCUAAGAAUUCUGCGUCCACUAAUGGAGCACAAUGGACUACGAGUGAAAAAAUAUCAUCCACAGUAACGCAUCAAGAAACAAAUUGUGUACAGCAUAAUGAAGUGUGUGCAGAUGCGGAUCAUUUAACAUUAUGGCAACAUCCAAUCACAACAUUAAACUAUUUCUUUCGAGAACUGUUACUCGAUAUACUCUCAUUAGGAAAGAAAACAUUACGUUAUAAGCGAACUGUAUUGAGUACAAUUUCGCUCGUAGCAUUAUUUUUGUUAUUAAGUAGAAUUUCAGGACCACAGCAAGAAACAUUUAAAGCAUGGGAAGCAAAAGUUAUAUGGUGGUUGUACUGGGUAGGUUUGGGUGUAUUGUCUAGUGUAGGCCUUGGUACUGGCUUACACACUUUUGUUCUUUAUUUGGGACCUCAUAUAGCAGCCGUUACAAUGGCAGCAUAUGAGUGUGGGUCUUUAAAUUUUCCCGAACCACCAUACCCAGAUCAAAUAGUAUGUCCAACGAUGAUUGAUCCAUUAUGGACAGCGGGUAUAUUAAAUAUUAUGAGAAAAGUACGAGUAGAGGCUAUGUUCUGGGGUGCUGGUACUGCACUUGGUGAAUUGCCACCAUAUUUUAUGGCUAGAGCCGCAAGAACAAGUCGACAAAGUAAUAAAAACGAUGAAGCUGCCCAAGAUGAUUUGAAGGAAUUAGAAGCCUUAGAGGCAUUAGAAAAUGGUGAAGAUGUGCCAUUAAUAAUGCGUUUGAAAUUAACUAUGAAACAUUUUGUUCAAAAAGCUGGUUUCUGGGGUAUUUUGGCUUGUGCAUCGAUACCUAAUCCAUUAUUUGAUCUUGCUGGCUUGACUUGUGGACAUUAUCUCAUUCCAUUUUGGACAUUUUUUGGUGCAACGCUUAUAGGAAAAGCAGUUAUUAAAAUGCACAUACAACAGCUAGCAGUGAUAAUAGCUUUUAAUGAAGAGCUUUUAGAUAAAUUUAUUAGCCUAUUGGCUAUUGUGCCCUUUGUCGGUUCGCAUUUUCAAGAACCGCUUAAAAAGUACCUUAUUGAACAAAAACAGAAAUUACAUAGUAAAAAAUCAAUGGAUGGAACAACAACGAUUUCUUGGCUUUUUGAUAAAUUUGUAAUAUUGAUGGUGUGCUAUUUUCUAGUGACAAUUAUUCAUGCAUUAGCUCGAAAUCACCACCGUAGACGCGUAAAAUCUUCUACAGACUGAAAUUGAAGAUGAAUAGAUUGGAACAUUGUAAUGGUGAAAACAGUUCCAUAUGUAAGAUGCUAUAUAAGACAUGAUAUAAGAAAUAACAAAUUCUAAUUAUAAUCUGCUUUUUGUGUGCAACUUCAACAACUUCCUUUGCAUGCUGAAAUGCUUUAUAUACACAAACGAGGUAUCGAUGAAUAAAGUUUUAUUUAUUCUCUAUGAAGGAAGCAAAAUGAUGAUUUUUAAUCUGACGAAAUAAAAUUGCGGAUAUAUACUAUGUAGAAAACAAUGCGAGCGAAAAAAGCGGAUGAAAAUUAAAGAGAGAGAGAGAGAGAGAGAGAGAGAGAGAGGGAAUGUUUAAUGUAACACAAUUUUUGAGUAUGCAUGUUCUCAUCUUAUGCAAGUAUAAAGCCAAACUUAAUACAUAUGUAUCGAAUAUAAGAAUGAGAGUGAUAACUUUGGUGUACGAUCGUGUAUGGUUGUUGUUAUUGUUAUUGUUGUUGUUUCAGGGAAAGUGAUAUCGCCCUUCACGGAUAAUAAGCUUUAUGUAAUACACGUGCCUGCGAUAGCUAUAAUAAAGAUCUGACAUUCCAAGCAGGACGUUACCCCUUCUCUUCGACGCAUUUCUGUCACUUUUCUUUUGCUGUUAUGAAGGAGCUAGGAUAUAAGGCUGACUUAGAGUACUAUGUACGAGGAAAGACUAAGCGUCUCAGGGAAGCAGAUAUAAGUAUAGAAAGAGGAUGACCUAGUUGCUACUCUGUGCCUCCCGAAAUAUUAGGAUAAACCCACGCGCGUAAUACAAUCCCAAUGCUAAGCUAACCAAAUUUAGCAUGUGACUUAGCAGACGCCCUCGAGACACUUACACGUACGAUGACUCAGUCCGAGGAGAAGAUCCGACGGACAGGAAUCAGGUGCACGGUAACGAAGAUCAUUCCAACAACCUCCAUCGGCGAAGCGACCUUUACCUUAACUUCGAGUCACGCGUACUGCGGAAUUAGUAUUUCUUCAAUGUUUAUAUGCGAUUUGUUUCUUCACGUGGUUAAGAUGCGUGUAUUUAUAGAGGUGAAUCUUACGGAGUUUGUCCUUGAGAAGAUGUUCGUUAAAAAAGAAAAAAGGAAAAAAACAAAAAAAGAGAGAAAGAGAACAAAAAUUGGCACCGUUGUCCAGUAUAGAUCCUCCCACUGUUUGAUACUUUAAUCAUCGAUAAGGAUCUGCUUUUCCGGGAUCGCAUGUAGGAUAUACGAAAGAUCAAACGAAAUCAGCAUUUAAAAUCGUUCGCCAGCGUCGAAGAGAUUUUACGAUUUAUAGUACGAGAUCAAUAUUUCACAUUCUCUUUUGUAACAACCUUGUUUAGAGAUUAUUUAAUCGGCACGAUGUUUCACGUACGACACGUAAUCUCAUUGGAAUUCCUGUUGUGUCUGUAAAUAUAAGAACGUUUCGACUAUACUAUCUCUUUACUCGGGUCGAUCUCUUCUUAAAAUAGGUCAACUAUAACGAGAUUUUAGGGGUCAGUUGGUGGAUAUUGGUUAAUGAGAGAAAUAAUAUGAAUCUAAGAAAAUGAGGUGCGUAAAGUAAGAGAACGUAAAUACGUCGAUAAAUCACUUAGGUCAAACUGAAAUGCAUUCUAAACGAGUUACUCUCUAGAAGAGUCAGAAUUUAGAAAUUCGAAGAUGUGUUAGAUACGAGCGAUGUACAUGUAUGAAUUGAUAUAAUUCAAAUAAUACGAUUCAAAAAUAUCUUUCAUAACUCGGAUCCAAAGUUAGCUUAAGGUAUACUCUACCUAGGCACAUAUAUAUUUUUAAAUCGUCGUUUGUGGUACAAAACUUAGUUAGUUGUUAGGUACAAGUUACAUAGUUGUUGGGUACAAGUUCAAGCAACAUACCACAAAUAACGCGCCGUGCCUUGAUAGUCUUCUACGCUAAUGAAAAACAUAGUCCGAUUAUCGAUCCGAUAAAUUUUAUGGAAUGUCACUCGAUCGUGACAUGUAAUUCGAUAACAGAAAUACAAGCAAGAAUUAGGCAAGAAGCCCAGAUUUUCCGUGCAUCCGUAGCUGAGCGAUGACGAAUAUUUUUCAAGGUAAAUGCUGAAAUAUCCCUCUUACUCGAUGUACCGAAUUUAAUAUUUCUCCGAGCAUUGCCAAUUCUGCGUUAAGAAAGACGAACUUAUGUUACAGUAAUCCGUUACAUCUAUAAUCCUUGAUACGAUGAUUGCCAGAUAGUUUAUCUAUUAAAGUGUAUGGAUGCGUAAGGGAUAUCGCGUUAAACCGAUCGAUGCGUCGUCGUUAGAAAUAUAGAAAUUACGUAGGACGAAGCUUAAUGUGAUAUAACUAUUUUUAAGAUUUUCAAUAGAUAUAUGUAGUAGAUAAAUGACAAUUUUUUUCUUCGAACUCUAUAGAACUUUUAGAAAAUAGAGAAAUACGUAUGACAAUUAGUAUAUUUUAACGUUCAUAUGCUUAUUUUGUGUGAGAAUAUAUUUUAGUUGGUGAAGGUAACGGUCAAUAGCUUUGAGGAUAACUCUCUGCCAACUGAAAGCGUAGUUAAAACAUACAUAGUUGUAGUGAUGUAUUUACUCUAAAGCAUAUCAAGAGUUCAGUCAGUGUCAACAAAGUCGGAGUACUUUUGUAACUCUACAUGUAUAUGUGUAUAUAUAUAUAUAUACAUAUAUAUAUAUAUAUAUACACAUAUAUAUAUGUGUGUGUGUAUCGAAAAGAGCAUAAAUUUAUCUUUACUUUGAGACGGAUCUUCGUACAUGCCAACAGAUUAAUUCCACGUUGUAUUAAUUCGUUCGAGUGAUAAGAAACUCUAAUAACAUGACGUAUGUAUUUCGUGUUUCUCUAUUCCUGUUAAUCAGACUCCUGUUAAGUAUCCAGUCUCAAUCGAAAAUAACAUUCACGUGUUGAAUAAUAACAAUUAUCUGAAUUCCAUUGCUGUUUAAUAAUUAUCCUUCGUUGAUAUUUCAAAGGAAAAGUCAAAAUAUUUCCACUUUUCUUUCUCUUAAAAAAAGAAAAAAAAAAAAAAGAAAGAAAAAAAGAAAGAAAGAAAAAAUAGAACGUAUAUCAUUAAAAAAAUUUUCCAAGUAUCAUUUUAAUCUCGAUUUCAUUGUGUCCAAAUAUUCACAUAAGGAAAAUUAAUUAAUCAGAACGCAUAAAUAUGAUUUUAUAACGUUAGCAUUUCGCUUUGAUUUAUUUUAAUCUCCGUUUUUUUUUUUUUUUUUUUUUUUUCUUUUUUUUUUUUUUCUCUCUCGAUCUGUCCAAUAGAUAAAUCAUUCAGGUUCGAUAUAGUAAUGUCGUUUUGAAAAGACGUAAUUUUGAAAGAUCGGUGUGUUCGUCCGUUGUUCGUUGAUGAGUCUUCCAUGCUAGAACCCCGUUGGUUCUUCGCCACCACCACCGCGGACAGCCAUCGAAGUCGACGCCGACGUCGACGACAUCACUGAAGUUCCGAUGCACACGUGCCGUGUGCAAACUCCGGACGGUAUGACUAGGACGGUUCCGAGACGGGGACGGCCAUUCGAAUCCAGUAUUAGUGCGGUGUAGAGUGCUCGGUGCUUUUUAACUUAACCAUCCAUCUCAUUUCUUAUCUACCGUAAUCUUCGUUGCUCUUAUACAUACACAUACAUCCACGUUUUUCUGUGUCUUUCUUCGAAAUACUCGUACGUACCGUUAGUGG
RNA transcript from Vespa velutina, 6377 nucleotides. It is a transcript of the gene named vacuole membrane protein 1-like, with no coding region annotated. The record is from RefSeq and is a predicted model, not a curated record. The transcript is spliced from 9 exons. NCBI's taxonomy places the organism in Eukaryota, Metazoa, Arthropoda, Insecta, Hymenoptera, Vespidae.